RNAcentral lists this ribosomal RNA (498 nucleotides) under uncultured bacterium. Its description in RNAcentral is "partial 16S ribosomal RNA". It matches the Rfam family "Bacterial small subunit ribosomal RNA", at positions 30 to 523 of the family's 1533-position model. The record is from RNAcentral.
AUUGAACGCUGGCGGCAUGCCUUACACAUGCAAGUCGAACGGUAACAGGCCUUCGGAUGCUGACGAGUGGCGAACGGGUGAGUAAUACAUCGGAACGUGCCUAGUAGUGGGGGAUAACUACUCGAAAGAGUGGCUAAUACCGCAUGAGAUCUACGGAUGAAAGCAGGGGAUCGCAAGACCUUGUGCUACUAGAGCGGCCGAGGGCAGAUUAGGUAGGUGGUGGGAUAAAAGCUUACCAAGCCGACGAUCUGUAGCUGGUCUGAGAGGACGAUCAGCCACACUGGGACUGGGACACGGCCCAGACUCCUACGGGAGGCAGCAGUGGGGAAUUUUGGACAAUGGGCGAAAGCCUGAUCCAGCAAUGCCGCGUGCAGGAUGAAGGCCUUCGGGUUGUAAACUGCCUUUGUACGGAACGAAAAGCCCCGGGUUAAUACCCUGGGGUCAUGACGGUACCGUAAGAAUAAGCACCGGCUAACUACGUGCCAGCCGCCGCCGUAA